RNAcentral lists this ribosomal RNA (486 nucleotides) under uncultured bacterium. Its description in RNAcentral is "partial 16S ribosomal RNA". It matches the Rfam family "Bacterial small subunit ribosomal RNA", at positions 28 to 507 of the family's 1533-position model. The record is from RNAcentral.
GAUGAACGCUGGCGGCGUGCCUAAUACAUGCAAGUCGAACGCUGGAAAUCUAGCUUGCUAGAUUGAAGGAGUGGCGAACGGGUGAGUAAUACAUAAGCAACCUACCCACGAAGACUGGGAUAAUCUCUGGAAACGGGGACUAAUACCGGAUAGGUAAUCGGAAGGCAUCUUCUGAUUAUUAAAGGUUAAAAACACUGGUGGAUGGGCUUAUGGCGCAUUAGUUAGUUGGUGAGGUAACGGCCCACCAAGACGAUGAUGCGUAGCCGGCCUGAGAGGGUGAACGGCCACAUUGGGACUGAGACACGGCCCAGACUCCUACGGGAGGCAGCAGUAGGGAAGUUUCGGCAAUGGGGGAAACCCUGACCGAGCAGCGCCGCGUGAGUGAUGACGGCCUUCGGGUUGUAAAGCUCUGUUGUAAGGGAAGAACGGUAGAUAGAGAAUAUCUAAAUGACGGUACCUUACCAGAAAGCCACGGCUAACUACGUG